Molecule: small nucleolar RNA, 103 nt
Filed under: Cryptosporidium parvum Iowa II
Lineage: Eukaryota; Apicomplexa; Conoidasida; Eucoccidiorida; Cryptosporidiidae
Source: RNAcentral
GAAAAUGAUGAAAUGUCAUUCUACUAUCAGUUCCAAAUACAAAACCUUGACUUGUUUGAAAGCUCAAGUUCUUCAGAUAAUAAUAUCCUCACAACAACUGACU